AACGCGAAGAACCUUACCUGGGCUCGAAAUGCAGUCGUAAGCCUCAGAGAUGAGGUCCUCCCGCAAGGGACGGCUGUAUAGGUGCUGCAUGGCUGUCGUCAGCUCGUGUCGUGAGAUGUUGGGUUAAGUCCCGCAACGAGCGCAACCCUCAUUCUUAGUUGCUCGCCCGCAAGGGAAGCACCCUAAGAAAACUGCCUCGGAUAACGGGGAGGAAGGUGGGGAUGACGUCAAGUCCUCAUGGCCUUUAUGUCCAGGGCUACACACGUGCUACAAUGGCCGGUACAAACCGUCGCCAACUCGCGAGAGGGAGCCAAUCGGUAAAAACCGGUCUCAGUUCGGAUUGCAGUCUGCAACUCGGCUGCAUGAAGCUGGAAUCGCUAGUAAUCGCGGAUCAGAACGCCGCGGUGAAUACGUUCCCGGGCCUUGUACACACCGAUAGC
RNAcentral lists this ribosomal RNA (440 nucleotides) under uncultured bacterium. Its description in RNAcentral is "bacterial SSU rRNA". It matches the Rfam family "Bacterial small subunit ribosomal RNA", at positions 958 to 1397 of the family's 1533-position model. The record is from RNAcentral.